This 504-nucleotide ribosomal RNA is filed under the name Tuber puberulum. RNAcentral's name for it is "eukaryotic LSU rRNA". It matches the Rfam family "Eukaryotic large subunit ribosomal RNA", at positions 65 to 573 of the family's 3401-position model. Lineage: Eukaryota; Fungi; Ascomycota; Pezizomycetes; Pezizales; Tuberaceae. The record is from RNAcentral.
CCAACAGGGAUUGCCUUAGUAACGGCGAGUGAAGCGGCAAAAGCUCAAAUUUGAAAUCUGGCGCCUCUGGUGUCCGAGUUGUACUUUGGAGAGGCAUCUUCCGGAGGGGCCCAGCCUAUGUGCCUUGGAACAGGACGUCAUAGAGGGUGAGAAUCCCGUCCUUGGCUGGAUGUUCCCUCCUGUAUGUAGUGUCUUCUACGAGUCGAGUUGUUUGGGAAUGCAGCUCAAAAUGGGUGGUAAAUUUCAUCUAAAGCUAAAUAUUGGCGAGAGACCGAUAGCGCACAAGUAGAGUGAUCGAAAGAUGAAAAGCACUUUGAAAAUAGAGUCAAACAGUACGUGAAAUUGUUGAAAGGGAAGCGCUUGAGAUCAGAGUCAGCCUUUGGCAAACAACUAUCCUUCUGAAUGGUGCACUUGUCAUUGGUUGGGCCAGCAUCGGUUGGGACGGCAGGAUAAAGGCCCAGGGAAUGUGACUCCUUUAUGGAGUGUUAUAGCCCCAGGCGGCAU